CAAGGCGACGAUGCGUAGGGGUUCUGAGAGGAAGGUCCCCCACACUGGUACUGAGACACGGACCAGACUCCUACGGGAGGCAGCAGUGAGGAAUAUUGGUCAAUGGCCGCAGGGCUGAACCAGCCAAGUCGCGUGAGGGAUGACGGUCCUAUGGAUUGUAAACCUCUUUUGUCAGGGAGCAAAGGGCGCCACGUGUGGCGUUUUGCGAGUACCUGAAGAAAAAGCAUCGGCUAACUCCGUGCCAGCAGCCGCGGUAAUACGGAGGAUGCGAGCGUUAUCCGGAUUUAUUGGGUUUAAAGGGUGCGCAGGCGGAAUGUCAAGUCAGCGGUAAAAUUUCGGGGCUCAACCCCGUCGUGCCGUUGAAACUGGCGUUCUUGAGUGAGCGAGAAGUAUGCGGAAUGCGUGGUGUAGCGGUGAAAUGCAUAGAUAUCACGCAGAACUCCGAUUGCGAAGGCAGCAUACCGGCGCUCAACUGACGCUCAUGCACGAAAGCGUGGGUAUCGAACAGGAUUAGAUACCCUGGUAGUCCACGCAGUAAACGAUGAAUACUAACUGUCCGGGCAGAAUGAUGCCUGG
This 576-nucleotide ribosomal RNA is filed under the name uncultured bacterium. RNAcentral describes it as "bacterial SSU rRNA". It matches the Rfam family "Bacterial small subunit ribosomal RNA", at positions 269 to 842 of the family's 1533-position model. The record is from RNAcentral.